GUCACGUUCUGAUUUGGCU
This 19-nucleotide microRNA is filed under the name Pteropus alecto (black flying fox). Its description in RNAcentral is "pal-miR-9298-3p". Lineage: Eukaryota; Metazoa; Chordata; Mammalia; Chiroptera; Pteropodidae. The record is from miRBase by way of RNAcentral.